RNAcentral lists this long non-coding RNA (3176 nucleotides) under Homo sapiens (human). RNAcentral's name for it is "HSALNT0095042". The record is from RNAcentral. Lineage: Eukaryota; Metazoa; Chordata; Mammalia; Primates; Hominidae.
GCUGGCACUGCCGAAGCACCUACGCCACGUCAGGCACUUGACACAGCCCCCAUUUCAUUUAAUUAUCUCCACAAACCUGCACAGCAGGAACUCUCACUCCCAUUUCACGGAGGAGAUGAGGACACAGGCUCAGGAGAAGCCCGGAGCACAGCACGCCCUGCCGGAGGUCUUUCAGCGGCCCCAGCCCGGGACCUCCAGCCACACGGGCCUCCGAGCCUCGCCGGCCGCUCUCCCCUGAGAGUUGACAAGUGGGUCUUCCCUGACAUCUCUCUUCCUCCCCGCUUGCGCUUCUCGUACCUCCCUGGCUUCAGCCGAGCUGCCCCCUCCGCCUGGAAUACCCUUCCCACACUAUUCUGGCAGAAAGAACUGCUACGCAUCCUUUACUUGGUUCAGACUUCUGGCCUCCUGGAAAUCCUUCCCACCCCCACCCAUAGGUCACCAGCCUCUGCUGAGCUGAUUUAGGAUCAUAGGAUCUUAACAAAGUGUCGUUAUCUGAGUGAUCCUGUUUCAGGCCUGCCGCAGUCCCUUUUCACCUUGGACAGUCAUUUUUGACUUUAGGUCUGGUCCCCAACGUCUCCACCUGCUAUGGCUCCCCGUGGUCUGAGGCUCAUGACCCCACAACCCUACUUGAGUAGUUUGACUCUGCAGGAGAAAGCUGGAGGGGUAGGGUGAGGGGAGCCACAGCUGGGGCAAGUGUACACCUGGAGUGAGUUGGGGCUGAGCACUGCCCCUGGGUGCCCCCAUCACCCAGAAGGGCCUCUCCUGCUCAGCCUGACAGCUCUGGUUUAUCCACCACUGAAAGAACCAGCAAGCCCCUACAGGCCCUCCCGACAGCGCCUCCAGAAACAAACCUGGCCCAGCCAUGUGGUUACCCUGAUCUGAUCUGCCAUGAGAAAGGUCACAAACAGGGACUGGAUCUCAGCACAGAGGGCUGCCAGCAACAGUUCCCGAGCCCCCUCCCCCCAUGUUCCAGCAGGACAGCUGUCACAAAGUCCAGCUUUCUGCUGGGGAGGAGACAAGCAAGUCCCCAUGUGGCCAGCUAGACCCGCCUGUGAGCCUGUGAUUGUUCUGCCACAGGUGGUGAAACUGCUACUCAAAGACAUGGAAUAAUUUGCCAGCCUCUCAGGUGGCGCCAGGAUUUCUACCUCAGACCUCAGAGAUCCUGCUUCCUACUGCACUCUCCUGAUAGCUUCCUGGGAAGCUGGCUGGCACGGCACUUCAGAUUCAGGGACUGCCUGAUACUGUGAAGUCACAAACCCAGUUAACUGCAGAGCCAGAGCCUUUUUUUCUUUUUUUCGAGACAGUCUCUCUGUCGCCCAGGCUGGAGUGCAGUGGUGCCAUCUCGUCUCACUGCAACCUCUGCCUCCCAGGUUCAAGCAAUUCUUGUGCCUCAGCCUCCUGAGUAGCUGGGAUUACAGGCGCCCACCACCUGUUCGGCUAGUUUUUGUAAUUUCAGUAGAGACGGGGUUUCACCAUGUUGGUCAGGCUGGUCUUGAACUCCUGACCUCGGGUGAUCCACCUGCCUUGGCCUCCUGAAGUGUUGGGUUUACAGGCGUGAGCCAUGGUGCCCAGCAGAACCAGAGCUUUUCUUGACUCCCUUGUUUGGUUCUGGGCUCUUAGCUAAGCCCCAGGUAAGCCUGCCAGUUUCAGGGAAGGACUCCUGGAGAUGGCUGUAUCUGAAACAGAAUUCACCAGACAGGGUUUUAGACUUGAUUUACAGAGAACCCUUUAGGUGGUGAAUUGUUUUCACCUGUUAUUUCUAGUGCCUGCUAUUCAGCCACAUCCUCAGCAACUUGCAGCACCCAAACUGCCACAAAACAAGCAAGUAACUGUGCCCUGCUUCCCUAGCUCUAAUCGGAUGCUCCCACACCACUUGGCUGUUCAGUUCCUAGGUCCCCUGAGACCCAGUCCCAUCAGGGCUGGACUUGGCAGGCAGGAAUCCCCUGGCAUUCACUCAAGCUGGCAACAAAGGAGAAGCUGGCAUGAAACUUAAAUUCCACCUUGGCUCUCAGCCCUAAAUCCACCGUGCCUGUCUGGGAGUGUCAUGGCAUGCGUCUUGGAGCCAGAGAACAAAAGAUGGCAAGUGCUGCAGGCCCAGACAGGCAAGGACCACAGCCCAUAUAUCCUGCACCACUGUGCUGCCUUCCAACAAUUUUGUCUUCAAGAACAGCACCUAGACACGCAUUAGGAGGGAAAAUUACACUUCCACCAGCACAGGCAUGUUCGCCCCUUCCCAGCUGGUAAUUGAGUUUCGUCGUCAGAGCUAUCACCUAGAUCAGGUAAGAAAAUGGGUGAAAAGUACGCCAAGUGCCAUUACUGGUCAAUUUUACUUAAAACAGUUUUCUCAAACCUGGAGAAAGCAAACCAUGCACCACCUUGGCUCCUCAACUAGGCUUCCUAAACUACCAAAGAGGCUCUUUAAGCACCUCAACCUUGGGGGAAAACAAAGAAAACAAAUCCUCUUCUGCUCUGAACCUGGCCUAGGAGCCCUGCUCCUCUGGACCAGCCCCUGACCUGCUUUUGGGUGGGCUACUACUCUCCUACCCAGUGUAAGGUAUGUAAGAUGAAGGAGCGUGGGAGAGAGAGAGGGCCCAGGCCUAGUUUCUGCUAUUCCAUCUGGACCAUUCUAUUAUAGGACUCAAAGACAGAUACAGAGAGAACUUUGGAAUAAGGCCUGGGAUAAAAUUUUGGUGUUAUCACUAAAGAGCUGCUACUUAACCUUCUUUUGUUCUGUUUCAUCACCUGUAAAAUUGGGUACACCAUCUACCUCCAUGGGAUGCUGGGUUAUGGGAUAAUAUACUUAACAUACCUUAAAAAAAAAAAAAAGCAAGAUUCCCUUUGGCAUGCAUAUAGAAUGGGGGAGAAUACAAAUUAGUUUGGCCCCAGCAACCUGAACCUUCUUCUUCUAGCAUAACUCUGGGAUCAUGACCUCAGAAAAACUUUGCAUAUACCUUUCCAUAGACAAAUGUAGUAAACACAACUCAAACCCAAGGCUGAAAUGCUAUUGGCCGUGACUAAUCUGAGGUAUGCCUUGGAGAACUGUCUCCACAGUUCAGGCCUUUCUAGACCAGUCCUAAAAAAUCUCAAGCACACAAAGUAUAUUCUUAAAUAUGGUUUAAUACUCUUCUCCAUUUCUGUACAUCACAACACCAAGAUUUUGCUGCUUAGUAUCUCUC